GAUGAAGAACGUAGCGAAAUGCGAUAAGUAAUGCGAAUUGCAGAAUUCAGUGAGUCAUCGAAUCUUUGAACGCACAUUGCGCCCUUUGGUAUUCCGAAGGGCAUGCCUGUUCGAGCGUCAUUAUCACCCCUCAAGCCCUCGGCUUGGUGUUGGACGGUUUGGUGGAGGCCCCCUCGGGGGCUCCUGCCCCUCCCAAAGACAAUGACGGCGGCCUCGUUGGACCCCCGGUACACUGAGUUCUUCACGGGACACGUAUCGGACACAUGGGUUUACGGGACACGGUCUGCCUCCCCUCAGGGAGAAUCUUUCUAAGGUUGACCUCGGAUCAGGUAGGGAUACCCGCUGAACUUAAGCAUAUCAAUAAGCGGAGGA
Molecule: unclassified non-coding RNA, 372 nt
Filed under: soil metagenome
Description: partial contains 5.8S ribosomal RNA, internal transcribed spacer 2, and large subunit ribosomal RNA
Rfam family: 5.8S ribosomal RNA (bases 1-120)
Source: RNAcentral